This is a long non-coding RNA of Populus euphratica (Euphrates poplar), 904 nucleotides long. RefSeq lists it as uncharacterized. The transcript has 2 exons. The record is from RefSeq and is a predicted model, not a curated record. NCBI's taxonomy places the organism in Eukaryota, Viridiplantae, Streptophyta, Magnoliopsida, Malpighiales, Salicaceae.
GUUUAAUUGGAACAGUUUCGCCAAGUGCUUACAUAGAAAAUGCCCUUUUCUUGAUUGCUCUUGACAUAAAAGUUACAAUACUCGAAUCACGUUUGCCACCAAACGUGGCAUGAUAAUAGCUGGGAUCCACAUAAUUAUCUUUAAUUGAUGGCCAAUGGAAUAUUCCCAGCACACAGCGCUCAGCGACAGCCAACUCCCUUUCACUUGUGCAAGGACCCUUGACAGCCAUUAUUUUGAGCCCACUGUAGGAGUUCUUUUUUCCAUAAAGACCACCAUUGUAAUCAGCUGGGGACCUUGAUGGUAACUCUCAGUAUCUUCAUAAUCAUAUUGAUUUGCUGUCCUAUGCUGAUGGCCAUAUCUUCAACUUUUAUGUCGUCUCUGAUUACAAGAAGAUUGCCACUUAAAAAAUACAGAAAUCUGCGUAGGGUACUGUUGAAAGCACUCAUCGUUAAAUAUGAUGGUCCACCACCGCCUAUAACAGGAUAAGGCAGCUUAUGAAGGACAUUUCCUACAAAAAUAGAUUUAAAAUUUCCUCGCACAGGCAUCAGUAGCAUUGUCGAUUUGUUUCUUUCCCAGAGUGUGCCUGCAGUAUCUUUUGCGUAAAGAGAUUGAUUAGACAAUGUGUAGGAAUCCACUCGGGUGAAAACGUGUAUUACGAAAGUUUCGGGACCACCCAUAAACAGAUAAUUAAAAAUUAAAAAAAUCAUAAGCUGUCUACCGACACUUGAUUAACAAAGCAAAUAAAUUUACUGUUGAUAAAUUACACUAUUCAGCGAAACUGAGAAUUCAAUUUUACAAUGUUGCCUUAUUUUUAUCUACAGUACAAAGUUACAAUUCUCACUCCAUUUUCAAAUUUAUGACACGCCUACUCUUCAGCAUUCUUACUCGAAUUCAAACUCAGAAA